GAUGAACGCUGGCGGCGUGCCUAAUACAUGCAAGUCGGGCGAACGGACGAGAAGCUUGCUUCUCUGAUGUUAGCGGCGGACGGGUGAGUAACACGUGGAUAACCUACCUAUAAGACUGGGAUAACUUCGGGAAACCGGAGCUAAUACCGGAUAAUAUUUUGAACCGCAUGGUUCAAAAGUGAAAGACGGUCUUGCUGUCACUUAUAGAUGGAUCCGCGCUGCAUUAGCUAGUUGGUAAGGUAACGGCUUACCAAGGCAACGAUGCAUAGCCGACCUGAGAGGGUGAUCGGCCACACUGGAACUGAGACACGGUCCAGACUCCUACAGGAGGCAGCAGUAGGGAAUCUUCCGCAAUGGGCGAAAGCCUGACGGAGCAACGCCGCGUGAGUGAUGAAGGUCUUCGGAUCGUAAAACUCUGUUAUUAGGGAAGAACAUAUGUGUAAGUAACUGUGCACAUCUUGACGGUACCUAAUCAGAAAGCCACGGCUAACUACGUG
RNAcentral lists this ribosomal RNA (497 nucleotides) under uncultured bacterium. RNAcentral describes it as "partial 16S ribosomal RNA". It matches the Rfam family "Bacterial small subunit ribosomal RNA", at positions 28 to 507 of the family's 1533-position model. The record is from RNAcentral.